UUGCGUAGGCGUUUUGCGUAGG
This 22-nucleotide microRNA is filed under the name Nautilus pompilius. Its description in RNAcentral is "Npo-Mir-242_5p (mature (guide))". Lineage: Eukaryota; Metazoa; Mollusca; Cephalopoda; Nautilida; Nautilidae. The record is from RNAcentral.